CUAAAAUGAGUUGAGGAAUUGAUAUCAUUGGUUUCACACCGCUUAUAAAUUUAAAAUAUAAUCCUGGAAGAAGCCAUAAAAAAAAAAAAAAAUAGUUUUGAGAAAAUCAUGCUGAAGAAUAACAUUUGAAACCGUUGCAAAUUGCAAAUUGCAUGUAUUUCGGAGCGCAAAAUACACUGAAGGCACAGCAAAUUUAGCUUAUUCUUACUACGUAGUAAACGUGAGGCUCUCUUUCCAGAACUACCGGCUUCUAUAAAUGAUUAUGGAUAUUUUAUAAGAAGUCUUUACAUUAUUAUUUUUUCAUUAGUUGAUAAAAACAAGAAAAAAAUUCUUUAUAAAAAUAUUUGCAUUUUUUUUUUUCAGUUCAGUAGUCGGACAAUAAAUUAAUUUAACCUAACAUCUAUUUUGACAUUUUAUACAAUGAUGCAUACUCGUCUAAUACUGUUUACAUUAAAAUAAUAGGAAAAAAAAUGAUCAAAUUAAAUAUGCUGCUCUAAAUAAUUGGGGUGAGGAAAAUGACAUGUGUCUUGCACUUUAAUGUUGAUAAUUUUUUUUUUUUUUUAACCUGGGCUGAGAUCCGUGCGUGUUGCAAGUUAUGUGUGAGAAUCAGACUGAGAAUGUCAUGUUAGUUUAUACAGUCAUAGUCUACAGUCUGUCACUGAUAAAAUCAAAUUUGACAGUAGCACAAUAUAGAGGUUUAAUGGACAGCAAACACAGCACAUUUACAAAUAAUAACGCCACUGUUUAAUGACUGACGCAUUCAAAAAGCAAAUUAAGAUUUUUUUUUUCUUUCUUCCGGAUGGGAUAAGUGAUUAACUAUUUAAUACUAAUCGUGAUUAAUUUAAGGCAUGUAACAAAUGGAAAGCUACAACUCCUAUAGCAAAUUUGUGUAUUCUGUAAAUCAUUCAGGAAACACAAUUGUUACACAAAUAUUUAUAAAAAUAAUAAUUCUUGUGCAACUUAAAUAUUUAUGGAUUAUAUAGGAAAAAUCCAUUUAAUUUCGUUUACACCUUGUGUUAACAGACUAAAUCAGCAGGUAUCUAUUAAAAAAAAAUUUAUCUACAGAUUGAAUGCUUUGCAUUUCGGUGUAGUAUGUUAAAGAAUUAUACAAGCAGACAGAGUAUAAAUAAAAUAAUCAUAUAAAAAUAUUCUCUUACAAAAUAUAAUCUUUUUAUCCUAUGGUCAAUUUUUCCAAAAAAAAAAGCGUUUAAUUUUUUUUUUUUGUCUGGGUUUUUAAACUGACCCUCUAUGGAAUUCAAAUUGUUUAUUAAUAAUAAUAAUAAUAAUAAUAAUAAUAAUUAAAAAAAAAGCAAAACCAACAACCAGUAGACAGUUAAAUAUUGAGCUGAUAUUGAGAUUGAUUAUUCCAGACAACUAGCAGCAAACAGCAAUACAGUAUUCAAUAAAUGAUGCCUGCUUUUGGUCUUUAAACACCUAUAAAUGCCAGUAGUGUCCCAAUGUGUACAUCUAAAACUGAUAUCUUAUUAAUACAUACUAUAUACAUCCCCACAUAUUUCUCCUGGAAAGAAGAAUGUGUAAUCUAUUUUGCAGAAGUAUUGCAAACUGCAAUAGGUUUGUUCUGUUCUCUAAAAUAAAUUAUUAGUUUAUUAUAAAUUGUUAAAUAUUAAAGUCCCUGUGCCAAUAAUGACCGAG
This 1653-nucleotide long non-coding RNA is filed under the name Pelobates cultripes (western spadefoot toad). The record is from RNAcentral. Lineage: Eukaryota; Metazoa; Chordata; Amphibia; Anura; Pelobatidae.